GUGAUCUUCUCACCUCAGCUUCCCAAGUAGCUGGACUACAGCUCAUCAACACUACAAAUCUAAAGCUGAAAGCUCAGGGUACGGUAAUGACAGAUGGAAACUUCAUUACAGAAAGCAAUGAAGAACACCCAAGUGGUAAAUAUGUGGCUGGUCUUGGCUCAUUCCUGCUCCUCCCUGCUAGUAUCUCAAAGCCACCUUACAGGAAUGUAAAAGCCACACUACCCAAUUACUGCAACUCAAAGGAUAAAUGUCAACAUCUAUACAAAGUAUUGUCAGAAAGAGUGUGAAAAAAAGGUGUAGACCAGACCCAUGACUUGCUCCUAAACAACAGAAUAUGACAAAUGGAAUGGCACGUCACUCCCAUGAUUAUGUGAUGUUAUAUGACUGUGUCUUGCUAGCUGGCUGGCUCCACAGACGUUCUCUCUCCCUUGCUGGCUGUGAAGAAGCAAGCUGCCAGAACUCCUAAAGCCACAUGGAGCUCAUUGCUGCCAAAAGGAAUUGGGAAGCAAAUCCUUCCCUAGCUGAGCCUCCAGUUGAGAGCCAGUCCUGGCCAACACCUUGAAUGUAGCCUUGUAAGACCUUCUGAGGAGGACCAAGCUAUGCCGUAUCCAGAUGUGUGACCUGCAGAAACUCUGAGGUAAUAAUUGUGUGCUGAUUCAAGCUCCCAUGUUUGCAGUAAUUUCUUACGCAGCAUAGAAACAUAGACUACAAAUGUCUGGAAAAGAAUAGCAUGUGGCUUUUUAGCCAACCUGUGUGUGAUUUCAAGGGAGCAGGAGAUUUUAGAGGCAAUUAGUCUUAUAAAGGAUAUAUGAGUCCAUUUUGCACUGCUAUGAAGGAAUAGCAGAGACUGGGUAAUUUUACAAGGAAAAUAGGCUUAUUUGACUCAUGGUUCUGCAGGCUGCACAAGAAGCAUGGUGCCAGCAUCAGUUUUUAAUGCGGGCCUCAGGACACGUACAGUCAUAGUGGAAGGCAAGAGGAGCUGGAUGUGGCACACCUUAAGAGAGGAGGCAAGACAGAGGGUGCAAGAAGUUCCAGAAUCUUUAACUACCAGAUCUUAUGUGAACUUAUGACUGUGGGGAGGGCACCAAGCCAUUCAUGAGGGAUCUGCCCCCAUGACCUCCCACUAAGCCCCACCUCCAACACUUGGGAUCACAUUUCAACAUAAGAUUUGGAGGGGGAAAAUAUUAACAUUAUUAAUAUCUGAAUUCUAUUAGAGACGAAAGGGAAAUUUUCCCACACGCUAAACAUUCUAAGUUGACUAGAGAAAGAUAAGGAUGUAUAUAGAGUAGAUUUCUAAGACCUAUACUAUUUUUAAAACCUGGUGGGAUUUGGGACAACGGUGAAGAAUGAAGCAUAUCAAUAAUAAAGACAUCCUCUUUUCACUUUUAUCAAAAAGGAUAAUGACGAGAGAUAUUGGUACCCAGAGUAGGAUAGAAAUAUACUUGAUGAGAGUAAAAGAUUUCGUAGAGAUGUCAAGAAUGAGAGAUAUGUGUCAGUUUAAAUUUUGUUUUAACUACAGGUAUUUUGACUAUGAAGCUAACCUUUUCCUUUUCCAAAAUGGAAGCAUGCCUUCUGAAAGGGAAAUUGUUAAUUACAUGUGCAUGGAUAUGGACUCAUCGGGAGCUAAUUAUUUCAAUAGAAAUGCUUGGAGGUUUCAAAAAUAUUUGUUUAUUGGGAAUGUAAACUUGUGGCCUUAAAAUUGAUGAGAGAUAGUUCCUCCUGAUUUUGGCAGGCUCCUUUCUCUAAAAUUAACUGGAUAAAUCAUAUUAUAGAGAAAAAAUAUAGAUGCUAGAGAAUACAAACAACACCCACAAAGGAGAAACUCCUAUGGAAAUGGAAGAAAGUUUUGAAAUGAAGUGGUGGUUAUGGUUUGUGGAUGGGUGCCUAGUGGCUAGGGUCUGAGGCAGAGGGUAUCUGGGCUAUGAGGGGUUUAAAGAAAAGUUUGAAAAAUUCAGUUCUUGCCGAUCGUUCUUUGCUGUGCAAUUAUUAUUGAUAACUGCUUCCUGCAGAAACCAGUGACAAAGACCCAAAGGUGGUACACACACCUAUCAGGUGAGGAGUUGGGAAAAAAUCUGGAGACUGUGUAGCCCUGGGAGCCACACUCUCCCACUUCCCACUAUUAUACUGCCAUCAUUCUUACCUGGGUCGCACCGGCAGAGAUUCUGAUGUAACUGACCUAGGCUGAUGACCUCAGCAUCAUCGUUUUCAGAGCUUACCAAGUGAUUCUAACAUGCAAGUCUUGAUCUGAAGGUGUUGCUUAGUGACAAAGGAGGGUGAUUAAUUUUGGUUUUAUGAUGCCUGAGACUUUCUACCCUAAGGCUCAUGCCUGUUCACUCCUUGUACUCACUUCGAAUGAGAGAUCCAAGUGUGGGUUUCUGCAGGCGUUUGAGCCCUUUCUCAGCAUACCCUAUAUGAUAUCCCUGGGAGAGAAUUAUUUCAUUAGCCAAAAUAAUGAAAUAUUUAUGGAACUUAAUUAUCUUGAAAGAAAAACAACAAAACAAAGAUCCCUGGAAGUAUUAGAACACAUGGAUGAAAAUAUUUAAAUAAAUUUAUUAUAUAGAUUAAAAGACAUAAUGGACAAAACAUGGACAUACUGGACAAUAUUUGGAAUCCCAUUUCAACUUAAGAUUUGGAGAGGACAAAUAUCUAAACUACAUCAGAGGGGAAAGAGAAAUUU
Molecule: long non-coding RNA, 2677 nt
Filed under: Homo sapiens (human)
Lineage: Eukaryota; Metazoa; Chordata; Mammalia; Primates; Hominidae
Description: HSALNT0356953
Source: RNAcentral